GCCCGGCUAGCUCAAUCGGUAGAGCGUGAGACUCUUAUUCAUAAUCUGCAAUCUCAAGGUUGCGGGUUCGACCCCCGCGUUGGGCU
Molecule: non-coding RNA, 86 nt
Organism: Tricladium varicosporioides
Lineage: Eukaryota; Fungi; Ascomycota; Leotiomycetes; Helotiales; Tricladiaceae
Source: the annotation of a GenBank genome assembly